Molecule: ribosomal RNA, 598 nt
Filed under: uncultured Spiroplasma sp.
Lineage: Bacteria; Bacillati; Mycoplasmatota; Mollicutes; Entomoplasmatales; Spiroplasmataceae
Description: bacterial SSU rRNA
Rfam family: Bacterial small subunit ribosomal RNA
Source: RNAcentral
GAGUUUGAUCAUGGCUCAGGAUUAACGCUGGCGGCAUGCCUAAUACAUGCAAGUCGAACGGAGUAGCAAUACUUAGUGGCGAACGGGUGAGUAACACGUAUCUAAUCUACCAUUUAGUGGGGAAUAACUGUUGGAAACGACAGCUAAUACCGCAUAAUAUUGCUGGAUAAUUUCCAGUAAUGAAAGGAGCUUUCAAGCUCCGCUGAUUGAUGAGGAUGCGGCGCAUUAGCUAGUUGGUAGGGUAAUGGCCUACCAAGGCAAUGAUGCGUAGCCGAUCUGAGAGGAUGAACGGCCACAUUGGGACUGAGACACGGCCCAAACUUCUACGGAAGGCAGCAGUAGGGAAUUUUUCACAAUGGGCGAAAGCCUGAUGGAGCAAUGCCGCGUGACUGAUGAAGGUCUUCGGAUUGUAAAGGUCUGUUGUAAGGGAAGAAAUGGUAAAACAGGAAAUGGUUUUAUCUAUGACGGUACCUUACCAGAAAGCCACGGCUAACUAUGUGCCAGCAGCCGCGGUAAUACAUAGGUGGCAAGCGUUAUCCGGAUUUAUUGGGCGUAAAGGGUGCGCAGACGGUUUUGCAAGUCUGAGGUUAAAUUUAGG